UGGGGAAUAUUGGACAAUGGGGGCAACCCUGAUCCAGCCAUGCCGCGUGAGUGAUGAAGGCCUUAGGGUUGUAAAGCUCUUUUAACGGGGAAGAUAAUGACGGUACCCGUAGAAUAAGCCCCGGCUAACUUCGUGCCAGCAGCCGCGGUAAUACGAAGGGGGCUAGCGUUGCUCGGAAUCACUGGGCGUAAAGCGCACGUAGGCGGGUCUUUAAGUCAGAGGUGAAAUCCCGGAGCUCAACUCCGGAACUGCCUUUGAUACUGAAGAUCUUGAGUUCGAGAGAGGUGAGUGGAACUGCGAGUGUAGAGGUGAAAUUCGUAGAUAUUCGCAAGAACACCAGUGGCGAAGGCGGCUCACUGGCUCGAUACUGACGCUGAGGUGCGAAAGCGUGGGGAGCAAACAGG
This 404-nucleotide ribosomal RNA is filed under the name uncultured bacterium. RNAcentral's name for it is "bacterial SSU rRNA". It matches the Rfam family "Bacterial small subunit ribosomal RNA", at positions 355 to 776 of the family's 1533-position model. The record is from RNAcentral.